This 403-nucleotide ribosomal RNA is filed under the name uncultured bacterium. RNAcentral's name for it is "bacterial SSU rRNA". It matches the Rfam family "Bacterial small subunit ribosomal RNA", at positions 356 to 774 of the family's 1533-position model. The record is from RNAcentral.
AAGGAAUAUUGCACAAUGGAGGAAACUCUGAUGCAGCGACGCCGCGUGAGUGAAGAAGGUCUUCGGAUCGUAAAACUCUGUCCUUGGUGACGAAAAAAAUGACGGUAGCCAAGGAGGAAGCCCCGGCUAACUACGUGCCAGCAGCCGCGGUAAUACGUAGGGGGCGAGCGUUGUCCGGAUUUACUGGGCGUAAAGGGUGAGUAGGCGGUAAUAUGUGUCAGAUGUAAAAGGCUAUGGCUUAACCAUAGUUAGCAUUUGAAACUGGAUUACUUGAGUGCAGGAGAGGUUAGUGGAAUUCCUAGUGGAGCGGUGAAAUGCGUAGAUAUUAGGAGGAACACCAGUGGCGAAGGCGACUUUCUGGACCGUAACUGACGCUGAGGCAUGAAAGCGUGGGGAGCAAACA